GGCAAAGUGUUAGUGUUCGGUGUAAACAAUCACGGACUGAAGGUAUUCCAAGAUCGAAUUUGGGUGCCUAAGUUAGGAGGAAUAAGAGAUCUNAUCGAAUUUGGGUGCCUAAGUUAGUAGGAAUAAGAGAUCUUCUAAUGGAAGAAGCUCACAAAACCAUGUACUCAAUUCAUCCGGUAGCACUAAAAUGUAUAGGGACCUAAAACCUUACUACUGGUGGCCGAUGAUGAAGCUUUAUAUUGCAAAGUAUGUGGCUGAGUGUGUGAUGUGUGUAAGGGUCAAGGAACAACAUUAGAAUCCAUAUGAGGGUUUAGAACCUUUACCUAUGCCUAUGGGUAAAUAGGAAGUCAUUGCUAUGGAUUUUGUCACUAAACUGCCCAGAACAAAGAAUGGUCACGACAUGAUUUGGGUAGUCGUUGAUCGCUUCACUAAGAGUGUGCAUUUCAUAGCAGCCA
Molecule: long non-coding RNA, 455 nt
Filed under: Lactuca sativa (garden lettuce)
Lineage: Eukaryota; Viridiplantae; Streptophyta; Magnoliopsida; Asterales; Asteraceae
Description: long non-coding RNA (LSAT_LNC002916)
Source: RNAcentral